GAGAAGUAGUUCAAUGGUAGAAUAUUUCUUGGAUUGAGACUUAAAAUGUUUAUUUCCAAGAGAUGAUAUUGGUUCGAAUCCAAUCUUUCUC
This 91-nucleotide transfer RNA is filed under the name Candidatus Woesebacteria bacterium. RNAcentral's name for it is "tRNA-OTHER". It matches the Rfam family "tRNA", at positions 5 to 66 of the family's 71-position model. Rfam says of the family: Transfer RNA (tRNA) molecules are approximately 80 nucleotides in length. Their secondary structure includes four short double-helical elements and three loops (D, anti-codon, and T loops). The record is from RNAcentral. Lineage: Bacteria; Candidatus Woeseibacteriota.